CCACAAUUUCCAGCCAUUGAUUUUGAUGGGCCCAUCCUAGGUUGGGAGGCCAAAGGUUUAGCUGAGCUCCUUGAAGGAUUAACUAUGAAUUGGUGUACACUCUCUCUUUCUUUCUCAAUGAUGCUAGUCACAAGGACGCCGUUGCAUCUUAAGGGAGGCCUGGAUUUAGGGAGUGAGGGGGUCAUUUCCAAUAGCAGCCCACAAGGAAGAUCUAGGAAGCUGAAGCCCAAUACUUCUCCCAGUGAUGGAAAUGACUACCAGCUGUUUCCAUUCAACAGAGCAAACACAGCUAGAAAAGAGAGGAGGGAACCUUAAACGCCCUUCUUUAUAGACUUGAACUCGCCCCCAAGCGAACACGCAAGGGCUAAAAGAAGGGUUUGUUGACCAAUGACUGAACUCUGGAUGUUGGUAGGAUUUGUGCCUGAAAACCCAGGCUGCAUUCCUUUGUUAUUUUUAAUCAGGCCAUUCAAAUUUCUUCUCCGGUACCUGCUUCAUUCAUGAGCCUGGCGGGUGGACCUUCUGUGGUUUGAGGGAGAAAUGGGUCUGAAAGCCAAUCUGCCUUUCUCCAAAGGAAAGGGAAGCAGAAAGGGAUCUCAAGGAAGGUGAGGAGUCUCCUGGGAUGAAGAAUAGAAGACAAAUUAGGGGCGGAGGAGAGGUAGAUUUGGAUAUGGUGGCGGUGAAACCCUCCGAGAUGGACCAGGCUCCUUUUCAACUUGAACUGACAGAGCUCGGCAUAGAAAUCUGGGAAGAAGAGAUUGACGAGGAAACUGUUGUUUUGUACAAAGAACGGGUGACCCCAGAUGACAGUGAGAAACAUCGGUCAGAAGAUGGCCAACGGGCUGGAUCCCAGAGGCCAUCAACGUGGGAAGGAGUCGGGCCCGCUCCUUAUGAAGAAGACCCCGAUGAAACGGCACUUCAAAAAGUUAUGGAUGCUAAUAAAAAAAAUAGGCCCUCGAAUGGUAUAUGCACAAAGCAGGAUUUCCCUCAUCGUUUCCAAGAGAGGACCACAGGACGGCAAGAGGGCCAUCCAGUAGAAGAAACGGGCUACUCCAUUCUUUCCAAAGCUCUCUGAGAAACCACAGUCCAGAUGGACGUCAGUAAUGGUAAGAAACAACAGCCCUGCUUGUUAGAUUGGGAAAUCUUCCGGGAUAACGGAGCAAUGUGUAAUUUAGUAUAAGGAAGGCCCUCUCCAUCGGCCGGAGAGUUGUCACCUCUGGUAAGAAGAAACAAGGUAUGCAGAUUCACCAGGUUACUCAGCAGGAUCUCAGUUCUGGAGAUUCCAGGGCUGAGAAUAAGAGUGGAGUCCAAUGAUGAUG
Molecule: long non-coding RNA, 1316 nt
Filed under: Pogona vitticeps (central bearded dragon)
Lineage: Eukaryota; Metazoa; Chordata; Lepidosauria; Squamata; Agamidae
Description: lncRNA (ENSPVIG00000004067.1)
Source: RNAcentral